UGGGGGAUCGUCUAAUGGCAGGACUGCAGGCUCUGAAUCUGUCUAUCUAGGUUCGAAUCCUAGUCCCCCAGCCA
RNAcentral lists this transfer RNA (74 nucleotides) under Deltaproteobacteria bacterium. RNAcentral's name for it is "tRNA-Gln". It matches the Rfam family "tRNA". From Rfam's summary of the family: Transfer RNA (tRNA) molecules are approximately 80 nucleotides in length. Their secondary structure includes four short double-helical elements and three loops (D, anti-codon, and T loops). RNAcentral also lists the same sequence under 2 other names. The record is from RNAcentral. Lineage: Bacteria; Pseudomonadati; Myxococcota; Myxococcia.